UACAGAGGGUGCGAGCGUUGUCCGGAAUCACUGGGCGUAAGGGGCGCGUAGGCGGCUUGAUAAGCGUGCGGUGAAAGCCCGGGGCUCAACCCCGGGUCGGCCGUGCGAACUGUCGAGCUGGAGCACUGUAGAGGCAGGUGGAAUUCCGGGUGUAGCGGUGGAAUGCGUAGAGAUCCGGAAGAACACCGGUGGCGAAGGCGGCAUCCUGGACCAACACUGACACUGAGGAGCGAAAGCCAGGGGAGCAAACGGG
RNAcentral lists this ribosomal RNA (253 nucleotides) under uncultured bacterium. Its description in RNAcentral is "partial 16S ribosomal RNA". It matches the Rfam family "Bacterial small subunit ribosomal RNA", at positions 524 to 776 of the family's 1533-position model. The record is from RNAcentral.